UUGGGUGUGUGUGUCUGUGUGUGUGUGUGUGUGUGUGUGUGUGUGCGUUUGGGGGGUGCUGGGAAAUGAAUGAGUGCAUGUGCGAAUGCGUGUGCUUGUUUAUUUAUGUAGACACACAGAAGGAACAAGAGCACGGGAGGGUGAGAGAGAGAGAGAAAGAGAUUUGUCAGGCACUUGUAUUUGAAAACUGCUGGCUGACGUCCCACAGGAGGCAUGGAGAUCAGACUGAAAGGCUGUGUGUUUAGAGUGUGUAUCCACAAGUAUGUGUGCACGUCUGGGGGGGAGAGAGAGAAACAGAGAGAGAGAGAGAGAGAGAGAGAGAGAGAGAGGAACCCGUUCAACCCAUUUCAGCAGCAACUUUUUUGCUCGUCUACAUGAGGUCUCUGCCUGAAUAUGGAAGCUUUUCGCUCUCGUGUUUUCUGCCAUCCGGUCACCACAGUUUCCUGCUGCUCAACUUUUGGCUACGUUUUAGGCUGGAGGUGCUCGUCGGCCCAAGUGUUCCGAGUGCUUUUGCAGGAGCAGAGAGAAGAAACUGCUCAGUGAGGUGGAUUAUUCUGGGUAACAAGGACGCCGCUGAUGAAUUGGUCUUUUUACCUCCAAUGUGUUAACAGUAGAAGGAGAAUUUUUAAAAAACAAAAUAUGAACUGCACAAACCAGACGGCGCAGAAGAAAAUACAGCAUUUUGUACAUUUGAAUAAACAAAGCUGGAAGCUUUUUGUGGAGCACA
Melanotaenia boesemani (Boeseman's rainbowfish) is the source of this 727-nucleotide long non-coding RNA. RefSeq lists it as uncharacterized. The transcript has 3 exons. Lineage: Eukaryota; Metazoa; Chordata; Actinopteri; Atheriniformes; Melanotaeniidae. The record is from RefSeq and is a predicted model, not a curated record.